AUUCUGCUCCCUCCAUUGCACAAUACAUGCCUUCUAUUUGUCAAAAUAUAUAUGUAUCUAGACAUGUUUUAGUAUAUAGGUACAUCCAUUUUUGGACAAAUGGAAGUCAAGUAUUUUGGAAUGGAGGGAGUACACA
Non-coding RNA from Triticum aestivum (bread wheat), 136 nucleotides. The record is from Rfam. Lineage: Eukaryota; Viridiplantae; Streptophyta; Magnoliopsida; Poales; Poaceae.